AAGGGUUGUCUACAGAAGUGCAGACAGUUGUCUUUGCUGCAAGCCAGCUGGAUGAAAGCCAGUUCUUGCUCAAAAGCCAUGUGGCAGAGUUACUGUGACUAUAAGCUAAAGCUGCUGUGUCCCGCCUCUUCGUUCAGAGUUCUCAUAAAGAAAACAAUUGCUUUUUCUACAACAUGAAAUAAAGGGCAAAGCAGGAAGAUGAAUUUCCCUACAAAGAACAGGCUGGGGCAUAUUCUUCUGGAUUAUGCAUCUUCAAAGACCUUCUCUGGAAGUAACGUAUAAACAAGACUUCUGCCAGAGCCUGUCUUUAGUCCACAUGCCAACUGCAAAUAGGUCCUCUAGAAUCCAAGGACUUGCUUUCGAGGACACUCGACUCUGAUCAGCUUGUAUCCAAGUGCCUUACUGGAUAUAAAUUACUUCCAACUGCUGUGAAAAGUCACCCCUUCUUUGCAGUUCUCAAAGACAGCUCAGACAGUGGAGAAAAUCUUUAUGUGCUUGAAACUGCAGUUACUUAUUUCACUGGCCUCAACACAAGUAUUCUUUUCUGACACUUGAAGUCUUGAGCUGGUCCCUGUAGGAAAGAGCACUUAAACCAGGAGACAGAGACCUAUUUUGCUAAGAUGUCUCUCUGAUGGACACCUUAUGGAGGCAAAGGUGCCCAGGUGCUGCUGGAACCGCUGCCAUCACACCUAGGAAGAUUUGGAGGUCCACUCUGAAUUUCAUUAGAUGUAGUGCAGAAAGCACUACUUCAGGGAGAAAGAUAAAAAGCACAGGUGCUUCCAGGGAAUGCUCGUUAAAAGGAAGAAGUACUUCUGUCUGCAUCUGGUGAAGUCAGCCCCAAAGUAUUUGAAAUACUAAACAGCACUGGCCAGAAAUUGUGUCCUGAUGCUCACAGAUCUAUGACUAUUUACCUGAAUACAGAGGAAAAAGUGUUCCCACAGAAAAAGAAAAAUAACUCUUCAGAAAUUUCUCGAGUCAUUGUAACCGAAGUAUAUAAGGUAUGAAUUGAAUGCUUUGAUUAUCAACCUUCAUGAAGCCAGGGCUCUGCAGAGCAAGAACUUUUUAUGAAAGCAAGUAUAUAAGAGCAUCUCUGAAAGUUGUUAAAUGUUUACAGCAGCAGUAUAAGUUAGUGGAAUAGUAUCAUCAUUGGCAUUUUGCUGGAGAAACUCUGUAGUUUGGCAGAAUGAUCACAAGUUGGACGUGUUUAUCAACCUUUGCUGAUCAAAAGUAGCAUCAGCGGAAACCAGUGCAAGAUCCUGGAUUGUAAUAUUCAGUUCAAAGUAAUACAUUUAGUAAAAGCCAUGCUCUGUUUUUUAUAGCUCCUUUUAGU
Molecule: long non-coding RNA, 1330 nt
Organism: Neopsephotus bourkii (Bourke's parrot)
Lineage: Eukaryota; Metazoa; Chordata; Aves; Psittaciformes; Psittacidae
Exons: 6
Source: RefSeq, a predicted model, not a curated record